This 264-nucleotide signal recognition particle RNA is filed under the name Clostridia bacterium. RNAcentral's name for it is "signal recognition particle sRNA large type". It matches the Rfam family "Bacterial large signal recognition particle RNA". From Rfam's summary of the family: The signal recognition particle (SRP) is a universally conserved ribonucleoprotein involved in the co-translational targeting of proteins to membranes. Archaeal SRP consists of a 7S RNA and homologues of the eukaryotic SRP19 and SRP54 proteins. In most bacteria, the SRP consists of a 4.5S RNA and the Ffh protein (a homologue of the eukaryotic SRP54 protein). Lineage: Bacteria; Bacillati; Bacillota; Clostridia. The record is from RNAcentral.
CUGUGCUAGGCGGGGAGCCAGCGGUGCCCUGAACCCGCAAUCCGCUAUAGCGGGGCUGAACGUCUUUCGAGGCCUGCCGUAUGGUUGGCUGCGCGCGGCAAGGAACGUUGAUAACAAGGUCUUAUGCAACGAACGCCCGUGAACCGUGUCAGGAUAGGGAUAUAGCAGCACUAAGCGGACACGUUCGUGUGCCAUGAGGAAGCUUUGAAGUAGUAACCUACCGCGUUACCGCUUCGGUGCGGCUUGUCGAAAAAGAAUGCACAG